Myotis brandtii (Brandt's bat) is the source of this 76-nucleotide non-coding RNA. Lineage: Eukaryota; Metazoa; Chordata; Mammalia; Chiroptera; Vespertilionidae. The record is from Rfam.
GGUGGUUCUCAGGUGAUGCACCCCGGAAUUGGGCUCCUUCCUCUCUGGUUCCAGGGUGCGUCACCCAAGAACCACU